AGAGUUUGAUCAUGGCUCAGGAUGAACGCUGGCGGCGUGCUUAACACAUGCAAGUCGAGCGAAGCAGUUAAGAAGAUUCUUCGGAUGAUUCUUAACUGACUGAGCGGCGGACGGGUGAGUAACGCGUGGGUGACCUGCCCCAUACCGGGGAAUAACAGCUGGAAACGGCUGCUAAUACCGCAUAAGCGCACAGAGCUGCAUGGCUCGGUGUGAAAAACUCCGGUGGUAUGGGAUGGGCCCGCGUCUGAUUAGGCAGUUGGCGGGGUAACGGCCCACCAAACCGACGAUCAGUAGCCGGCCUGAGAGGGCGACCGGCCACAUUGGGACUGAGACACGGCCCAAACUCCUACGGGAGGCAGCAGUGGGGAAUAUUGCACAAUGGGGGAAACCCUGAUGCAGCGACGCCGCGUGAGCGAAGAAGUAUUUCGGUAUGUAAAGCUCUAUCAGCAGGGAAGAUAAUGACGGUACCUGACUAAGAAGCCCCGGCUAACUACGUGCCAGCAGCCGCGGUAAUACGUAGGGGGCAAGCGUUAUCCGGAUUUACUGGGUGUAAAGGGAGCGUAGACGGCUUUGCAAGUCUGAUGUGAAAGGCGGGGGCUCAACCCCUGGACUGCAUUGGAAACUGUGAGGCUUGAGUGCCGGAGAGGUAAGCGGAAUUCCUAGUGUAGCGGUGAAAUGCGUAGAUAUUAGGAGGAACACCAGUGGCGAAGGCGGCUUACUGGACGGUAACUGACGUUGAGGCUCGAAAGCGUGGGGAGCAAACAGGAUUAGAUACCCUGGUAGU
RNAcentral lists this ribosomal RNA (784 nucleotides) under uncultured bacterium. Its description in RNAcentral is "bacterial SSU rRNA". It matches the Rfam family "Bacterial small subunit ribosomal RNA", at positions 8 to 794 of the family's 1533-position model. The record is from RNAcentral.